This 253-nucleotide unclassified non-coding RNA is filed under the name uncultured Gammaproteobacteria bacterium. RNAcentral describes it as "contains 16S-23S intergenic spacer region". It matches the Rfam family "Bacterial small subunit ribosomal RNA", at positions 524 to 776 of the family's 1533-position model. The record is from RNAcentral. Lineage: Bacteria; Pseudomonadati; Pseudomonadota; Gammaproteobacteria.
UACGAAGGGUGCAAGCGUUAAUCGGAAUUACUGGGCGUAAAGCGCGCGUAGGUGGUUUGUUAAGCUAGAUGUGAAAGCCCAGGGCUCAACCUGGGAAUGGCAUUUGAGACUGGCAGGCUAGAGUGUGGUAGAGGUGAGUGGAAUUUCAGGUGUAGCGGUGAAAUGCGUAGAGAUCUGAAGGAACAUCAGUGGCGAAGGCGACUCACUGGGCCAUUACUGACGCUGAGGUGCGAAAGCGUGGGUAGCAAACAGG